GUCCCUUAGGUGACAUCCGAUAAAAUUGGAAUGAUACAGAGAAGAUUAGCAUGGCCCAUGCACAAGAAUGAUAUGCACAAAUCGAGAAAUUGUCCAAAAUUAA
RNAcentral lists this small nuclear RNA (103 nucleotides) under Nicotiana sylvestris (wood tobacco). The record is from RNAcentral. Lineage: Eukaryota; Viridiplantae; Streptophyta; Magnoliopsida; Solanales; Solanaceae.